This is a long non-coding RNA of Motacilla alba alba, 5700 nucleotides long. RefSeq lists it as uncharacterized. The record is from RefSeq and is a predicted model, not a curated record. The transcript is spliced from 2 exons. Lineage: Eukaryota; Metazoa; Chordata; Aves; Passeriformes; Motacillidae.
UCUGCAGGGCUGCUCUCCAGCCACUCCUCUCCCAGUUCAGACUUGUGUCUGCAAUUACUCCAUCCAGGUGCAGAAUCCAGCAUUUGGUUGGUCUUGCUCAGCUUCAUGUCCCUGGUGACUGCUCAAGACUCCAAUCAAUCCAGAUCCCUCUGCAAGCCUCCAGAUCACUGAUAAAGAGUCUGAACAGAGCUGCCUCUAGACCUGAGCUGCCUCUAGAACCUGAGGAACACCACUGGUAACUGGUCACCAGCCAGAUGUCCUGUUUGCUGCAAUAAUUUGAGCCCUGCUCUUCAACCAACUCAUCACCCAGUGCACUGCAUACCUGCUCAUCCCACUGUUGGAAAACUUGUCUGGAAGGGGGCUUUGAGGGACAGUAUCAAAAGCCUUUCUAAACCCCAUUAAAACUGGGGGCUUAAAUCCAGUGUCUUCACUUCAUCCAGGCAGAUGACCUUAUCGUAGAAGGUUAUGGGACUUUCCCUUUGUGAACCCAUGUUGUCUGUGUCUGAUGACUGCAUUGUUUUUCAAAUGUCUUUUAAUAAAACCCAGCAUGAUUUUCUCCAUAAUUUUUUACAGGUACUGAGGUUAGACUAACACGUCUGUAGUUUCCUUGGUCUUCUCUCUUGCCUUUCUUGGAAACUGGUGUAACCUGGGCUAAUUUUUAAUUGGUGGGGCCUCCUAAGACCUUUUGUAGAUGAUUGAGAGUAGUCAUGUUGUAAUGUCUUCUACAGUUACCCACAGUACUCUGGGGUGAAUCCUGUCAUGUCCAAUGGACUUAUUAAUAUUAAGCUGAUAAUAAUUUGUCAGUUAGUCCCCUUCAAUUUCAAUGUCCAUAAAUGGAAAGUUGGUGUUCCUGCAUUCAUUGUCCUCUGAGAAUUAGACAACCCAAGGUAGCAACAUGGACAUUAGUUCCAUCGCAGAGACAUGAGUGGCCUUUGUCCAAAGAAUGCUGCGUGGAGGGGUGAUGGCUGGUCUGUGACAAGCAAGGCUGUGCAUAGGGGACACCCUCAUGUCAUAGUGUCAUCACCCUGCAGUGCAGCAGUACCUUGGAGGGGCAGGGUAAAAGGGAGCAUCCUCCCAUGUUCCACUGUCAAGGCUGGCCUGGAGCCAGGCCACAGACAUCCAAAAGGAAGUCCUUGAGAAGACAGUGGAAUUACUUGAAGGAGGCUAGGGGUGGAAAACUGGAGGCAAGGCCAGCUGCCAGUGGCACUCAGCCUUUGGGAAACAAAUGCAAGCCCUUCAGAGGAGAACUGCCAAACCCUGUAGGUGCCUGAAGCUGUCUGGCCUUUUCAGCUGGAUAGCACUACUAAGUUCAAGUGAACACCUUCUUGAGGAGCACUGCACAGCUCUGUCCUCAGCCCCUUGUGGAGCCGGGGCAGCUGCUCUAAGAAAUAGGAUGCAGAGAGGUUGUCAGGGGUCCUAGGACUUUUUAAUAUCCACUGGUGCCUUGCCAGGAUUCUUGACCCUCAGGUUGAUCAGGCUGAGGACAUUUGGCCACUCUUGGAAGCACCAAGAUGGCUCCAGGGAGAAUAGGGUUUAGGCAUAUCCUGGAAGGCAUGACCAGGUUGUGGGAUGAGGAGUGAGGCCUUGCUCACAUGCUAAUAGCUGAUUACCAGCAAUGGCAUCAGGAGAGAAUUUUCCCUUGGGUCAGAUUGGCACUGGUUCAUGGGGGAAGGGGGAGAGAUGGGGUUGCAGGCUUGCUUCCCCAUCCAGACCUGACACUUUUCAGUUUUCUUGCCUGCAACAUAAGCACAGGGGAGGCACGAGAGUGCUUUUCAUGCAUCCCUUCCCUGGCUGGGAAGGACGGCAAUGAUCAAAUUUUGGAAGGCAAGAUUGCAAUGUGCCCGUCAUUGAUAUGUGUCAUACAUUGGAAAAUACCUCAUGAUACCACACAUAUUUUCUUCUGACCUAUAUGCCUGCUACUGUUUUCUGUAGCUCUGUCAUUUGCCUUUUCCAGACUACAAAGGAUGUGUUUUCAAGUAAGAAAUGCAUCAGCCUGCUCCUGGCUACACAUGCAUUUUGUGUUAGUGCUUGUGAGCAUCAGCUCUGAAACAGAUGGAGAAAAAUAAAAAUUGAAAUAAUAUCCUGCUUCCAGUUAUAACCUGUGUGUUAUGUGUCCUUGAAUGUGUUUUUUGGACCUCAAAACCCCCUGAUGUGUCAGACACAUAACAGUCUCACUAUCAUUUGACUCAGGGUGAGUGCAGGACAGAGCAGUUGUGCCACCCAGAGCUCUGCAUGACAAGGUCUGAGCAGGUCUGAGGGCUCCACCCCAGAGAGCAGCUCUGCAGUGCAGGUCCCAGGUCCACCCAGGAGACAGGGGCAGAGAUGGGCACAGCCACAGCAGGGCUCCGGCAGGGACCCAUGGCCCUUGGCAGGAGGUGGUGGGGCUGGGGGUCCCAGGGCAGGCCAGUCCCUGCCACUGAGGCCUGUGAGCACCACCCUGUCAGGACCAGACUUCAGUGCUCAUGUGCUCUUCUUCAGACACUGGUGGUUGGACACUUUGGAGACAGAGUAUUGGGCCAGAUGGACCUUCCCUCUGAGGGAGUGCUGCUGUCCUCAGGCUCUUGUGUUUUAGCAUGUUUUUGCAAGGGAAAAAGCUCAGACAAUUCUAAAAAUGAAUACAAAGUAAGGAAAAACAAUCCACCAGAAGAUCAAAAGGUAUUGCUCAGCAAUUGAGACAUUUGCAACCAUUUAGAUGAGAAGCACAUCCUGCACCAGACUGAAGGCUUGAUCUUUGAGCCUUGCUGGUGUCAGUGAUGUGGUGGUUUGCCAUCCUGUGAAAACCUAUCUCAGUUGAGCUGAGCUCAGUUGAAUGAAUUUUAAAAAAACACAUGCCAAUUGCUUUUUUGCAAAUUUGUGCAGAUGGUCCCUUUAUCUUGAGAUGAUCCACAGCCCUGACCCUUCUCAGAAGAAAUACACCUCCUUCCCACAAGGUGACAGAGCCAUUGCCUAGGCUGGGAGAUGGUUAUGGGUAUUCAGUGCCUUCUGCUAGUGCAGGGCUGGGAAGAAUUGUCUUCAGAGAUUUCCCCAGUGUGUACUGGUCGGGAAAGGAGCAGGUAGGAGAAGAUAGAUUUGAGUAGAAUAAAAUAGUUCAAUUUAAACAGACCUACAAUAAUCAUCCAGUCCCACUACCUGACCACUUCAGGGCUGACCAAAAGUGAAAGCAUGGCCUUAAGGGCACUGUCCAAAUGCCUUUUCAACACUCAUAGACAUGGAUUUAUUGACCAUUUCUCCAAGAGGUCUCUUCCAGGGUUUGACACCGUCUCAUAAUAAACCCAGCCAGCGCUGUCACAACAUUUCUGCAACUCUGUUUCAGUAGGGUUUGUUCCUGGGCAUUUCUUGUGUAGUUUCUGCAAAUCAAGUUAAUGUGUUUUUGAUGUUUACAUUCUAAGUCAAUAAUAUAUGUGGUUUCAUCUGAAACUUAAACCAGUGCAUACUCCAGUUUAUGGGAACUUUGGAGGCAUUACAAGGGUUGUAAAGGAGGAGAUUCUAGGAAGGAAACAGUAAACUUCCAUCUGGAAGGGAUUUUUGUGAUUCUGUACAAGUCCUGUUCUGUAACAACAUCUGCUCUGAGGCAGGAGACAAGUAUGUGGAAGAAUAUUAUUGUGAAAGGCAUGUUACAUCUAUUAUAGCUGUGCUGACCUGCUUACAAUGUGAUGACAUGGUUCUAGCAGCCUCAGGUUCAUAAUAGCAAUCUACUGUCUAAUGGUUUAAAAUGUUGGCCACACAGAUAUUAUAAAAUGUAUUGUACUGAAGUCAUUACAGUAUUAUGACUGGUCUUGACAUUUGGGGCUCUGCUGGCACAAGCACACACAAUGAUGAUGCAACUCCACCUCUGAAGAGCUAAUUCCUAAUCUCUGAGUUUAUAAACAAAACCAAUAAAAAGUCACUAAUUUCUCAUCUGGAUAGUAUGGUCUAAACUAUAUAGAUGAUAUUUUUCUACCUUCAGGUUCAAGUAUAAUGAAAACUUGAAUUUCCUUUUUUAAAAGUUCUCUCUUUUUUUAAUAGAAAUUAUAGAAAAAAUGGAGUACAAGUGGUCACCUGGCCCAUCCUACUAAACAAAAGUGGAAUCAACUGUACUUAAAAUUAUUCCUCAGGAAUGAUUUGCUUGCCAGCCUUUUUAAGUUUGUAAUGAGAGAUUUUGCAGGUUCCCUAAAUUGAUCUGUACCUUUGCUUAGGCACCUCCAGUCAGAAAGUUCUCUUCUCAUAGAAUGCAAAUGUCUUUUUUUUGCAGUUCAAGCUUCCUUGUUGUAAACAAAUGUGUUGUUUCUUCUUGCCUCAAAAUUUAGAAGUGUUUUUCAUCUUUUGUCAGCAUUCCCUCUGAUCUAACUGGAGUUAUCACAUGACUCUUUCAAUCAGAUGAAACAGUAGCUCUUAAUAAAAUAUUGAUUGCUUUCACUUGUUUUAGUUUCUAAUGUACAGGUUAAAAGACAGAGGUAAAUUUUGGUUGUCUGGGUGAGAAGCAUGGAAGAAAAGGGAAAGAAAACCUAAGGUACCUUCCUGUUACGUUCUCGUAUGAUAUUUUCCCUACUUUGUUAUCUUUGUAAUCUGUUUCUCCUUUCCCAGUUUCCCCCAUAUAUGUAGUAUUAACCACGAUCCUGUAAGUUGUCACAUAAUGCACUCUUUCUCAUUGUCACUUAGUUUCCACAAGACAAGGAAGUGCUGUUUCUUAAGUGUUAAGGGGGUCCCCAGCUCUGUGUUCAUUGGCCAAAGCAUUAUUAGUAUCAAGGUGGCCUCAUCUUCUGUUUUUGCUUGACAAUUUCAUCUUUUAUCUCUUAUUCUUUCCCAUUUCCUUUUUAGUUCUUUAGCAGGGGUCCCUUCCUCUACUGUUCUCUCUACGCUUUACUUAAAUCCUCUCUUAAAAUUAAAGUAAAUUUUUAAAAAAUCUACUAAAUUGUUGGGUUUGUUUCUGGACUGCCUUCUUCACUACAUCUCGCCCGUCUAGCAGAUCAUCUAUUUGGCAUUGUUAUAUUAUCUAAGACUUAAUGUUUCUGACAAGGACUGCCCCAUGGUAGCUGUCAGUGGUCUGCAGACACUGCACAGUGCAUGCCACCUUUCUGUUGCGACACUAUUAAGAGUGAGACCAUAUUGGCACAUAGAGGAGAAAUGCUGAGGUGGUGAUAACCUGUGUAUCUGGGAAUUGCUGGAAUUUCUGGUCUGGAUUGAUCACCAGUGCCUGCAUUUUAGGAUGUGCUCUGAACUCUAGUGCAACCAGUUGUUGUAGAUGGCAAAGGGUGAGAGAGCAGUAGAUGAGUGCAGGAAAGGAGAAUACGAGUUGCUUUUCACCUCAGUGGCCCAAGUUUUAUUCACUGGCUAGGAGGAACAGUGAAGAAAACUGGCCAGCAUCUGUCAUAGCAGGAUAUUUCAGCUGAGAUAAAUGGCAGAGAAAAGCAGUCUAGGUACAAGGUGGGGGUGAGCAUGGAGGGGAGAGCAGCAUGCCUAUGCUCACCUUUCCUGCAACACACCUGUCCAGGCUGUGGGGAGUGUCUCUAAAUGGCUUGUCAAGCCAGUGUGGGAUGAUGGACAGUAUACUGACCUUGGGAGAAAACAAAAAUAAAGGGUGGAAAAGGCCCUUUAAUACAGUUUUUGCAGUUGCCUAUAUGAAUAGGAUUGUAGCUCCCUGAACUCACCUGAAGAUGCCAGGGGGAUUUUUCACUUGCCUAAAAUAUACACAGGGGGAUUCACACCCCCCCCACCCAAACC